This 451-nucleotide unclassified non-coding RNA is filed under the name Hevea brasiliensis (rubber tree). Lineage: Eukaryota; Viridiplantae; Streptophyta; Magnoliopsida; Malpighiales; Euphorbiaceae. The record is from RNAcentral.
GCCAGCCAUUACAGCUUCGAUCUCCCAUGUUUCUCGUGGACAGUUUGUAAGGUUCUUGCAACCGUUAGCCGUAACAUACAGAUCACUUUCAAUUCGUACUCCACCAAAGUUCUUGUAUCUGUCAAUUUUUUCACGGUUAAAGUACUUCGAUGUAAUGGAGUCUUCCAUAGCUGGAACUAGUAGGGCAUCAAUGAAAUAGCAUCCUGGCUCAACUGUUAUUACCAUGCCCUCUUGCAGUUCUCUUAUAGUCCGUAAAGACUUUAAUCCUGGCUCCUUUAGUCUCUCCGUUCCCUUAGCAUAGCCUCCUGGAUCAUGGGUAUCAAUCCCAAGGAAGUGUCCAAGACCAUGGGGCAUAAAUACAGCCCCUAAUCUUCUGCUCAUCAUAUCAUCCACGUCACCAAGAAGAAUUCCCUCUGCCUUCAGUGACUCAAGGAUCGUCUUCUCUGCUAAU